This is a long non-coding RNA of Pyrus x bretschneideri (Chinese white pear), 1094 nucleotides long. RefSeq lists it as uncharacterized. Lineage: Eukaryota; Viridiplantae; Streptophyta; Magnoliopsida; Rosales; Rosaceae. The record is from RefSeq and is a predicted model, not a curated record. The transcript has 2 exons.
UCUACCCCAAUUCAUUCAAAUUCUUUAAAAAUCCAUAUGAAUUUUGUAGAAGUUUUUCUUAAAUCCUAUCAUUCUUCCCUUCACUCGUCUGUUCACAGUUCACAGUAACAAAUCCAAAUCCUUCCUCUUCAGGCUUCACACUGCGAAUCCUUCCCCUCCGCUUUGUUCCAGGCUUCCAAUUUCGUGCUCUAAUUCGAAUGGUUUCUCUUUCUCUUUAUUUUUGUAAUUGAAUCCCCCCGAAACCUAUGGGAAUGCUAAGACCGUGCUCUCUCUCGUCCUUAUACGCCCGACUCCUCUCUCUCUCGGCGUCGUCUGAACGACUCCUCUUUUGCGACCGCAUCUGCUUGACCCUUCCGGCGUCAGCCACCACUCUCCGCUGCGUCGUCGUCUGAUCGACUCCUUUCUCGCGUCCUCGUCUGCUUGACCCCUUCGGCCUCAGCCAGCACUCCCCGCCGCGUCGGCUGAUCGACUCCUCCCGCGUUCUCAUCCUGCCCGACGACCUCGCCAGACCAUCCCACCGACCACUGAAACUCAAGUCGCAGAUAAUUGUUGAUGUUUACGAAAUCAUGGAUUUUGUUUUUCACAGAUGUGAAAGUCCCCUAUUGUUUAUUCUCUUGCCGCUUGAUUUCGGCUUUGCUCUUUGUCCAGGGCAUAUAAUCUGCAAGCUGCACCAAACAAUUCACUAUUUUUGUCCUGAAUAGUUGAAGAUAAGCCAGUUCAGCUUAAUUUCAGAAGUUAGUCUAGUCUGAAGAUAAUUUGGUGCAACAAACGCACAUUGUCCUGUCGACAAAAGUGGCAGAGUUCCGAAGCAAAAUAAGGGAUUAGAAAGAUCGUGAGUCUUCAGAUUACUGAAUAGUAGAGAAGUAGACGUGAUAUAUACCUGGUCGAUGGAAUGUCCAUACUUUUGUUUGUAACACUCAAAUGUUGCUCGUAGUUGAAAGAUGUUCCUUGUGCUGAGUAUCCAAACAACAUGAUCAUGAUCGUAUUGCUUUGUUUCGAUGGCUUCAUGUAACCUAGAUGCCUCUGAAUCGGCAAUGCCUGUAUCCACCAGCUGCCUAUCGUACCUGUACGAGAAGCCGUGCCAACCAACAGUA